GUGGGCCUCGUGUGUCCCUGUCGUGGCUGAGAGUGACUGCCCCAGCACCUAUGAAGAAAGCCCAGAGACUCUGGAGGCUCAGCUGGGAUAACGCCUGGCGUGCUCGGGGGUCAUGGCCACCGCCUGGACUCUGGAAAAAUGGGAAAAAUGCUCUUGGCAGACAGCGGGGCAGUCAGGAGGGAGCUGGCCCCACCAGCCCAGGCAACGCCCAAGAGCUGUCCUCCCACUCGGCUCCAGGAGACGUUUAAAUGGGGCCUGACUCCCCCAUCUCUGAUUUAAAAGAUAACCAGAAGCAGCAGAGAAAACAUCUGAAGUGCUUCCUGGACACACCUGUUAGGAAGUUUCUGCAAGAACCCAGGUCCUCCUUCCCACCAGACAUGAGGAUUUUAACUUGAUCAUCUCUGCAAAGACCUUAUCUUCAAAUACAGUUACAUUCUGAAGUCCUGGGGGUUAGGGCUGCAACACCCGAAUUGGUGGAGACAAAAUCCAGCUCCUGACAAUACCGCGUAUGAUAGCUGCGUCUCUGCCUGCAGUACUGUUUUCCAGGGAAAGCAUCUUUGAGUGUAUUCAGAAAGCCUCUCUCUGGGGCCAGGCCUUGCAGAGAAUCCUUCAGAAACUGGACAACCCCACCCAAGGCAGUCAGUGGGGAGGACACAUUUGGUGCCUCAUUGGUCCCUGGAUCUGCCUCACAGUCCUCAAUGUUCCUCCUCGUUCCCUCUACUCUUUCUCCUCUUUGGUUGACCUUGAAGCUCAUUCCUGGUGAAGGCCCCGUGGGAGCAGUGCAAUGACAAGAGGAGCCUGUUUUCAAUAGCACCCUCACGCUCUCCAGGGGUCCAUUGGAGGCGCCUAUGACCUCCUGAUGCUGAGGAGCCUAGAGUGGGCAGCCCUCGGGCCCAGGCUCCACCUGGGUGAGGCCUGUUUUAUUAUCAAUACUCACCACAGUCAUUUGUGGGAGUGUAAUGCUCAUAUUCCCAUUUAAGAGAUGAAUAAACUGAGGCAAGGUGAAGUGACUCAGCUGAGGCCACACCACAGUUUAAUGGGGAAGCCAGGAUAAGAGCUGGCGGCUUCUAUGUCUGAUCUACACUCUGAUGGGAGGUCGUCAGAGAGCCAUGUAAACGGUGAGGAGGUGACAUGCUGGUCCCUUCCAUAAAAGCUGUUUUGCAAAAUUAAAACACACACACAGUAAAGAUCCAGAUUUAUGCAAGUGAGAGUGAGGGGCUGACUAUUUACCAGUCAACAGAUCUCCCCAAAUGGUUCUCUGCUUGGGGUUGAGAUGCUCCUGACCAGCAGGGCUUGGGGAGAGACAUUCUUGCUCCCCCUAGAGCUGGCUGACCCAUACCCAGGGGAUUCUGAGCACCAGGGGCUGGGAGCAGCAUGUACCACGUGUUUCCCAAGAGUUAGUCAUGUUUGCUCCUAAAACUUAUUGUAAUCGAGGAAUCUAAUUA
Molecule: long non-coding RNA, 1445 nt
Organism: Homo sapiens (human)
Lineage: Eukaryota; Metazoa; Chordata; Mammalia; Primates; Hominidae
Source: Ensembl